Molecule: long non-coding RNA, 845 nt
Organism: Zophobas morio
Lineage: Eukaryota; Metazoa; Arthropoda; Insecta; Coleoptera; Tenebrionidae
Exons: 2
Source: RefSeq, a predicted model, not a curated record
AAAUAACUCUCAAUGGCCUAAAAUAUGUCAAUUUAAAUCUAAUAACUUUUGUAAAAAUGUCCCUAAUCUCUGUGGGACCUUGAGAAUCAGAUAUUCUCUAGUCGACCUUUAUCUUCCCAAAUUAUGUUAUAUAGCAAAUUCAAGCCGCAGGCUAGAGAUUAGUAUAUUAAGUUAUAUUCUGCUUUUUUUAAGAAGAAACUGUCGUACUGAGCUAGGCUCUAUCACGACCUGUUAUAUUAGUUAUUAAUCGGCCUGUUCAUUUGUAUAAAUUAGCCAAAUACACUGACGUCAUCCGAGGUCAUCAAGAUGGCAGCGUUUGACAACUAGCCGGUUUUCUCAUAAGAGUCAAUACUAAUAUUUUCGGAAUUCAUUUAAAUUUGAGAGUGUCAACUGUGUUUUUAUAGUUUGGAGAAAAUGCCUAAAUUUUGUGCUGUUGUGGGUUGCGUGAAUCGAAGCACCAGAAAUAUGGACAAAUUUAUUUUCCUUUCGCAGCAAUUAGCAACAAUAAAGGUAAAUAUAUCCAGGAUGGGGAAAAGGGUGGAAGCUUUGGUUAAAAGCCUUGAAACGAGUGGAUUUAACGAAGCCAAAGUAAAGUAUUCCUAUGUUUGUUCGGAUCAUUUUAUUUGAGGUACAGUACCUACUUAUUAGAUUUACAGUUUCUAACAAAUUACUACAUUGGUGCUCUUUUAGGUAAACCUGCAGAUUUAUCAGAUGUGGACCAUCCUGAUUAUGUUCCAUCACAAAAUUUAGGAUAUCAAAAUAAAUCCACUCAUAAUACUUGUAAUGUUGAAAGGCACAGUUGUUUAAAAAAGAGAAAACUGAAUAAAUGUCUCUAGACUUUUGAA